Lontra canadensis (Northern American river otter) is the source of this 646-nucleotide long non-coding RNA. RefSeq lists it as uncharacterized. Lineage: Eukaryota; Metazoa; Chordata; Mammalia; Carnivora; Mustelidae. The transcript has 3 exons. The record is from RefSeq and is a predicted model, not a curated record.
UACUUGAGAACCAGGAGCACCAACCUCUUCCAUUUGAGUCCAACCCUAGGACCAGCUAUUGGAGAAAGAAAACCAACUCACCUGACUACACUUCUACCAUGGAAGAGACCUACAUCCCAUGACCAAUCAAUGUGCCAUUUCAGAGAACAUCUUUAACAGUAUGAACAUGUAUCUGACCUCUCACAAAGAUCUGCUGGGGGAAGAGAGAGAGAGAGGAAGAGGUUAAGAAUGUAUCUGGAAGUUUAAGCGAAAAGUUUACAGGAUUCCUCCAUGAAGUUUGAGUGAGAGUGACUAAGAACUCUCAUGUUCUCAGAUCCAGGAACGUUUGUAUUUGCACUAAUCCACAUCCUUUUUGUUAUAAAUAAUUGCAGAAGUUCAUUUAUAGAUGAGCUCCAUCACUAAGCAACACGCAUUGGACAUUUGUGUUUGUUGGCGUUUUAAAUUCACCGUGUUUUAUAAUGUCAAGUACAGUCAAUUUAUAAUUGAAGCAAAAUUUUUGAAGUACCCUGUGCUUGGGCAGGGUAGAAGAACACAGGGUACUAUUUAUCAUAGUUUAGUCUCCUUGACUUUAAAAUUUUUCUUUGUUAGGAAUGUAAUAUCCUCCUUUGUUGUAUCAUAUCACAUUUAAUUUUGACUGCAAAGACAC